UACGGAGGAUGCAAGCGUUAUCCGGAAUGAUUGGGCGUAAAGCGUCGCAGGUGGCUGUGUAAGUCUGCUGUUAAAGAGUCUAGCUCAACUAGAUAAGAGCAGUGGAAACUACACGGCUAGAGUACGUUCGGGGCAGAGGGAAUUCCUGGUGUAGCGGUGAAAUGCGUAGAGAUCAGGAAGAACACCGGUGGCGAAGGCGCUCUGCUAGGCCGUAACUGACACUGAGGGACGAAAGCUAGGGGAGCGAAUGGG
This 252-nucleotide ribosomal RNA is filed under the name uncultured bacterium. Its description in RNAcentral is "partial 16S ribosomal RNA". It matches the Rfam family "Bacterial small subunit ribosomal RNA", at positions 524 to 776 of the family's 1533-position model. The record is from RNAcentral.